UGGCAGCGCCCGGCGCCCCGACGGGGCGGGCGGGACCCCCCUCCCCCCGGAGCCCCCCGGUCCGUGUCACCCCCGGCGGGGGAGGGAGCGGGGCCAGCGACAUCCGGGCCCUUGGCUGGCACCGCCGCCGAGCCGCCGGCACGGCAGCCGCGGGUCAGCGCGGCCGGACGGGGCGGGUGGUGCCUCCGUGCCCCUCGUCGUGCCGUGCCCGCCGCCAGCCCCCCCGAGGUGCGCGGAGCUGCCCCGCCCCAUCCCGUCCUGUCCCGUCCCGUCCCGUCCCACGGCAGGGGCGAUGCUACCCUCGCUGAGCCGCCCGCGACUCCCUCGCUGCUGAUUCGCUUUAGACGGUUUGCCUGGCGUAGGAUCAUCCCGCGGAUAACCCCUCAUCCCGGCGGCGGCUGCGAGCCUGGGCGAUGCGGCUCCAAGACUGACCCUGCUGAGAGCCCCUGAGAUAUUGAACUCUAUGAGCGGAGACCACUUGACUGCACUCAGCACCUUUCAGGACCAGGCCCUAGGAGAUGGUCAGAGGAGUGAAGGGAGUGUCGCCGAUUUGAAAGAAAACCAAGGGUCCUGG
Long non-coding RNA from Pipra filicauda (Wire-tailed manakin), 574 nucleotides. RefSeq lists it as uncharacterized. The transcript has 4 exons. The record is from RefSeq and is a predicted model, not a curated record. NCBI's taxonomy places the organism in Eukaryota, Metazoa, Chordata, Aves, Passeriformes, Pipridae.